Molecule: long non-coding RNA, 417 nt
Filed under: Nicotiana benthamiana
Lineage: Eukaryota; Viridiplantae; Streptophyta; Magnoliopsida; Solanales; Solanaceae
Description: long non-coding RNA (NBEN_LNC037858)
Source: RNAcentral
GCACUGGCACUCUGUGCAGGACUGCGUCCCCUGUUAGAUAUCUUAACUAUCAAUUUGUGGUUGUGACCACUCCCCUCGAGAACUGGCACAUCAACAGUUCUCUCACCACUCAAUGCAGGCUGCGGUAACUUUUCUGAGGUAGGAUUCCUAUGUGAGCUUCUGCCUGCAGCACUCUCCUUUUGGCAUCCAGAUACUGAUGAUCCAGGAUAUCCAUUAAUUGACUUCCGGUGACGAGAACUUCUCACCACUCAAUGCAGACUGCGGUAACUUUUCUGAGGUAGGAUUCCUAUGUGAACUUCUGCCUGCAGCACUCUCCUUUUGGCUUCCAGAUAUUGAUGAUCCAGGAUAUCCAUUAAUUGACUUCCGGUGUCGAGAACCACCAGUAGAGAUCUUGAUGCUGUUCAUUGACACUGCGGU